UGCAGAGAUCAGUCCCUGCCAGGACACAGUUUAGAUAUGAAGGUCCAGGUUCAGGUCCUGGGGCUCCUGCUCUGGAUAUCAGGUGCCCAGUGUGAUGUCCAGAUAACCCAGUCUCCAUCUUAUCUUGCUGCCUCUCCUGGAGAAAGUGUUUCCAUUACUUGUAGGGCAAGUAAGAACAUUAACACAUAUUUAGCCUGGUAUCAACAAAAACCUGGGGAAACUAAUAAGCUUCUUAUCUACUCUGGAUCCACUUUGCAAUCUGGAAUUCCAUCAAGGUUCAGUGGCAGUGGAUCUGGUACAGAUUUCACUCUGACCAUAAAGAGCCUGGAGCUUGAAGAUUUUGCAGUGUAUCACUGUCAACAGCAUAAUGAAUACCCAUACCACAAUUCCAGUGGUGAUGCUGUUCUGAUCCAAACUCCACACUUCCUGCCUAACUCAGGACCACCAGCCAAGGAGUAUUACAAUGGACACUACAAUGGACUAGGCCUUCCCUCAGAAGAGACCACCUACAGUAGAUUGGCAGGACUCACAGUUGACGGAUAUGAUCACCAGCCCGUCUUCAAAAUUUUUGAUCCAGAAUUACUCCUGUAUAAAACAAAGGUAGGGACAAAAAUGAGGCAGAGGCUGAAGGAAAGGACAACCAGUGAAAAGCCCAACUAA
Molecule: non-coding RNA, 660 nt
Organism: Mastomys coucha (southern multimammate mouse)
Lineage: Eukaryota; Metazoa; Chordata; Mammalia; Rodentia; Muridae
Source: the annotation of a RefSeq genome assembly